Molecule: long non-coding RNA, 722 nt
Filed under: Lepisosteus oculatus (spotted gar)
Lineage: Eukaryota; Metazoa; Chordata; Actinopteri; Semionotiformes; Lepisosteidae
Description: lncRNA (ENSLOCG00000022561.1)
Source: RNAcentral
AUUUCCUCAACCCCCACUUCUUGUUCGAAUGGGCUGUGACCCACCUUCCAGGUAGUUACAUUUCCUCCAGAGUGCAGGCUGGAUUAAUUGCUUAAUUAAUGCCGUGAAAUAUGAGUGCCCUGUGACGGACCCUCCAGGGUACAGCCCUGCACUGAGCUCUUUGUGCCAAUUUAACUUCCUAUGACCCUCCGUAGGAUGAAUCUAGGUGAUGGCGGGGUGCCCAUUUUUCCUGAUGUGUAGUGAGAGGGCUCAUAUUUUGUUCUCAAUCAUUUUCGAUGUGCGGGGAGCUGCCUGUACCUGCGGUUACUGCCUGUUGCAGUCUGGUCGCUUUCUCGUCUCCCCGAUGAGGCGUUUGACGGUGCUGAGAUGUCGUAAUCACAAGUCUGUGAUGGCCUGCUUGCCUGCCGUCGUCCCGAGGACCAGAGCAGCUCCACUCCCUGGACUGUGACAGACUCUACUACACCAAAAGACUGGGUCUUCAGGGGAAUUCACUUUCGUGAAUUUGCCUGUUGACACCAUAGGAAAAGAGCUCAGGGACCAGAUGAGCAAGUCCCAAGUCAGUGUUGAUCACCUUGGAUGUGCUGACAGCGGUACACCUUGCCUUUCCGACUUCUGACCCUUGGAAAUGAUAUUGUGAUUGCCAUGUAAGUUCACCAUCUUGUCUUCCCCAGUCAUUGCAUUGUAUUUCAUUUGACAUGUUCUGGUAGUUUUACUAUGAUACC